RNAcentral lists this ribosomal RNA (626 nucleotides) under uncultured archaeon. RNAcentral describes it as "bacterial SSU rRNA". It matches the Rfam family "Archaeal small subunit ribosomal RNA", at positions 25 to 652 of the family's 1478-position model. The record is from RNAcentral.
UACUGCUAUCGGGGUCCGACUAAGCCAUGCGAGUUGAAUGUCCGAAAGGGCAUAGCGCACUGCUCAGUAACACGUGGACAACCUGCCCUGAGGACUGGAAUAAUCCCGGGAAACUGGGGGUAAUUCCAGAUAUGUCAGAACUCCUGGAAUGGGUUCUGGCAGAAAGGCUCCGGCGCCUCAGGAUGGGUCUGCGGCCUAUCAGGGUAGUAGUGGGUGUAACGUACCUACUAGCCUACGACGGGUACGGGUUGUGAGAGCAAGAGCCCGGAGAUGGAUUCUGAGACAUGAAUCCAGGCCCUACGGGGUGCAGCAGGCGCGAAAACUUUACAAUGCGGGCAACCGCGAUAAGGGGACCUCGAGUGCUGGGUUACAAACCUGGCUGUUGGGCUGCCUAAAAAGCAGUCUAUAGCAAGGGCCGGGCAAGACCGGUGCCAGCCGCCGCGGUAACACCGGCGGCUCGAGUGGUAACCGCUAUUAUUGGGUCUAAAGGGUCUGUAGCCGGCCGACUAAGUCUCUUGGGAAAUCUGGCAUCUCAAGUGUCAGGCUGCCAGGGGAUACUGGUCGGCUUGGGACCGGGAGAGGUGAGAGGUACCUCGGGGGUAGGGGUGAAAUCUUGUAAUCCUCGA